RNAcentral lists this ribosomal RNA (149 nucleotides) under Mallomonas sp. NF-WJ05. RNAcentral's name for it is "5.8S ribosomal RNA". The stretch from base 1 to 87 matches the Rfam family "5.8S ribosomal RNA", at positions 61 to 154 of the family's 154-position model. From Rfam's summary of the family: 5.8S ribosomal RNA (5.8S rRNA) is a component of the large subunit of the eukaryotic ribosome. It is transcribed by RNA polymerase I as part of the 45S precursor that also contains 18S and 28S rRNA. Functionally, it is thought that 5.8S rRNA may be involved in ribosome translocation. The record is from RNAcentral. Lineage: Eukaryota; Synurophyceae; Synurales; Mallomonadaceae.
CGUCUUGCGAAUUGCAUAGCCAGCGAGUCAUCAAAAUUUUGAACGCAUCUUGCACUUCCCUUUGGGGAGUAUUCUGUUGGAGUAUCUGUAGAACCCUCUUGAGCCAUCAGGGCUGUAACAAGCCUCUGAUGGAGAUCGUGGUCUCCCUC